UACGUAGGGUGCAAGCGUUGUCCGGAAUCACUGGGUGUAAAGGGUCCGCAGGCGGGCAAGCAAGUCGGUGGUGAAAUCUCGUAGCUCAACUACGAAACUGCCAUCGAUACUGCUUGUCUUGAGUUCGAGAGAGGAUGAUGGAAUUCAUGGUGUAGCGGUGAAAUGCGUAGAGAUCAUGAAGAACACCGGUAGCGAAGGCGGUCAUCUGGCUCGAUACUGACGCUCAGGGACGAAAGCGUGGGGAGCAAACAGG
This 253-nucleotide ribosomal RNA is filed under the name uncultured bacterium. Its description in RNAcentral is "partial 16S ribosomal RNA". It matches the Rfam family "Bacterial small subunit ribosomal RNA", at positions 524 to 776 of the family's 1533-position model. The record is from RNAcentral.